Molecule: small nucleolar RNA, 221 nt
Filed under: Sorex araneus (European shrew)
Lineage: Eukaryota; Metazoa; Chordata; Mammalia; Eulipotyphla; Soricidae
Description: Small nucleolar RNA U3 (ENSSARG00000015579.1)
Rfam family: Small nucleolar RNA U3
About the family: Small nucleolar RNAs (snoRNAs) are involved in the processing and modification of rRNA in the nucleolus. There are two main classes of snoRNAs: the box C/D class, and the box H/ACA class.
Source: RNAcentral
UAGAUGAUACCUUCAGGGAUCAUUUCUAUAGUUUGUUACCAGAGAAGUUUCCCUGAUUGUGCAGAGCACCUGAAACCACAAGGAGGAGCCAGAGCAUCUCUCCUGAGGGUGAAGGUGGUUCUAGGUGUUGCUUCUGCAACUGCCUUUUAUUGCCUUUUAUCACUGAUGAACGUUCUUCUCUUCCCUUGGAAGAGUUGAGGGAGAGGAUGCAGUCUGAGUGA